RNAcentral lists this ribosomal RNA (490 nucleotides) under uncultured bacterium. Its description in RNAcentral is "partial 16S ribosomal RNA". It matches the Rfam family "Bacterial small subunit ribosomal RNA", at positions 30 to 507 of the family's 1533-position model. The record is from RNAcentral.
AUUGAACGCUGGCGGCAGGCCUAACACAUGCAAGUCGAACGGUAACAGGAAGAAGCUUGCUUCUUUGCUGACGAGUGGCGGACGGGUGAGUAAUGUCUGGGAAACUGCCUGAUGGAGGGGGAUAACUACUGGAAACGGUAGCUAAUACCGCAUAACGUCGCAAGACCAAAGAGGGGGACCUUCGGGCCUCUUGCCAUCGGAUGUUCCCAGAUGGGAUUAGCUAGUAGGUGGGGUAACGGCUCACCUAGGCGCCGAUCCCUAGCUGGUCUGAGAGGAUGACCAGCCACACUGGAACUGAGACACGGUCCAGACUCCUACGGGAGGCAGCCGUGGGGAAUAUUGCACAAUGGGCGCAGGCCUGAUGCAGCCAUGCCGCGUGUAUGAAGAAGGCCUUCGGGUUGUAAAGUACUUUCAUCGGGGAGGAAGGGAGUAAAGUUAAUGCCUUUGCUCAUUGCCGUUACCCGCAGAAGAAGCACCGGCUAACUCCGUG